GUGGGGAAUAUUGCGCAAUGGGCGAAAGCCUGACGCAGCGACGCCGCGUGAGGGAUGAAGGUUUUCGGAUCGUAAACCUCUGUCAGAAGGGAAGAAACUACAUUGUGCUAAUCAGCAGUGUACUGACGGUACCUUCAAAGGAAGCACCGGCUAACUCCGUGCCAGCAGCCGCGGUAAUACGGAGGGUGCAAGCGUUAAUCGGAAUUACUGGGCGUAAAGCGCACGUAGGCUGUAGUGUAAGUCAGGGGUGAAAUCCCACGGCUCAACCGUGGAACUGCCUUUGAUACUGCACAACUUGAAUCCGGGAGAGGGUGGCGGAAUUCCAGGUGUAGGAGUGAAAUCCGUAGAUAUCUGGAGGAACAUCAGUGGCGAAGGCGGCCAUCUGGACCAGCACUGACACUGAGGCACGAAAGCGUGGGGAGCAAACAGGAUUAGAUACCCGAGUAGUCC
Molecule: ribosomal RNA, 450 nt
Filed under: uncultured bacterium
Lineage: Bacteria
Description: partial 16S ribosomal RNA
Rfam family: Bacterial small subunit ribosomal RNA
Source: RNAcentral